GUGGGGAAUUUUGCGCAAUGGGGGAAACCCUGACGCAGCAACGCCGCGUGGAGGAUGAAAUAUCUUGGUAUGUAAACUCCUUUCGAUGGGGAAGAUUAUGACGGUACCCAUAGAAGAAGCCCCGGCUAACUUCGUGCCAGCAGCCGCGGUAAUACGAGGGGGGCAAGCGUUGUUCGGAUUUAUUGGGCGUAAAGGGUGCGUAGGCGGUUUGGCAAGUCUGAUGUGAAAUCUAUGGGCUCAACCCAUAGUCUGCAUCAGAAACUGCCGGGCUUGAGUAUGGGAGAGGUGAGUGGAAUUUCCGGUGUAGCGGUGAAAUGCGUAGAUAUCGGAAGGAACACCUGUGGCGAAAGCGGCUCACUGGACCAUAACUGACGCUGAUGCACGAAAGCUAGGGGAGCAAACAGGAUUAGAUACCCUUGUAGUCC
Molecule: ribosomal RNA, 425 nt
Filed under: uncultured bacterium
Lineage: Bacteria
Description: bacterial SSU rRNA
Rfam family: Bacterial small subunit ribosomal RNA
Source: RNAcentral